CCUCAGGAUUUAGGGGGGCCCAGGGAGGGUCCUGGGGGUUCCAAGGCGGUGUUGGGGGGCUGGGGAGAGCUGGAGGGGUAGGGGGGGUCCCGGGGGGUUCCCAGGGGUCGUGGGGAGGGGGCAAGGGGGUGUGUGGAGCCUUGGGGGGCCCCUUCGGGAGUUGGGGGGGUCCCGGGGGUCCCAGAGUGUGUGGGGGGUCCAAGGGGUUUGGGAGGCCUUGGGAGGGCGCUCAGGAGCUGGGGGGCUCCUUGGCAGGGGUCCUGGAGAGGUCCAGGGGGGUGUUGGGGGGAGCCUGGGGGCAUAGGGGGUGCUGGGGGGGGGGGACAGGGGCUGGCGUUGGUUUGAGGAUGGGCCUGGGGGGGCACUCAGGAGCUGGGGAGGGAUCCGGGGGGGGGUCCAGGGGGCUGUUUGGGGUCCAUGGGGAGCCCAGGGCGUGGGGAGGGCCCUGAGAAGGGGUCGGGGGUGGGGUCCAGGGGGGUAUUGGGGGUGUGGGGGGAGCCCAGGGACUGGGGUGAUUCCGGAGGGGGGUCCCGGCGUGGGGUCUAAGGCAGCGCAGGGACUCCGGGGCGCCGUUAUGGUGCCGGGGGGACAUGGCGGUGCGGGGAGGGCCGGGCCGGGCUCCCCCUCCCCCCUUCGCCUCACCGCUCGCGCCUUUCGCUUUCGCUUCUCCCAACCUGCCUCGGUGGGAUCUGCCUGGCGCCCGGUGACGACCGAGACGGCGCCGGUCGCCAUUGGCGGGCGGCCCGAAGCGCAGCCAAUGGCCCCGCGGGGGCGCGGCGGGGUGGGGCGCGGCGCGGGGUAACGCGGCGCGCGCGGCCGAGUCGGAGCCGAGUGGUGGAGUUGGAGCCGGGGCGAGCGAUGGGGCCGGGGCCGAUACUGGCGCUGGUGCUGGUGCCGGCGCUGGCGGUGGCGCUGGUGCUGCUGCUGAGGAGCGGCGGGCCGAUGGCAAGCAAGGGGGACCCCUGGGCCACCCGAGGUGACGGGGCCCCGUUCUCUUCCAGAGCCCCAGAGCAACCUGCUGCCGAUCAACAACGGGGUAGUUGUCGCUGCGCUCGUCGUCGUUGCCGCCGUCGCCGGGUUUACGUUGCGGAAGAGGAGAUCGGCCCACGACGGGGAAUCCAGCAGUUCCGGAACAGAGAGCAACCCCGACACUUAAGCAYURAGGCAUUGAACWUGACUCARUGGGAUGUUCAAAAUGCUCCAUGACAGCCCAUAGGACUAUCACCAGCAGAAAUUCUCUUUGGGAGACAUUCAGCCAUUCCAGGGACCUAUACCCCAGCUAAGACCAACCUGUUGGAUGGGGGAUGAACGGCUGACCCG
Long non-coding RNA from Apteryx owenii (little spotted kiwi), 1320 nucleotides. The record is from Ensembl. NCBI's taxonomy places the organism in Eukaryota, Metazoa, Chordata, Aves, Apterygiformes, Apterygidae.